This is a long non-coding RNA of Hyla sarda, 943 nucleotides long. RefSeq lists it as uncharacterized. The record is from RefSeq and is a predicted model, not a curated record. The transcript has 5 exons. Lineage: Eukaryota; Metazoa; Chordata; Amphibia; Anura; Hylidae.
GACAUCUUGCAGCACCAUUUCAGCCAUUUUAAAAGUAGAUCACAAUGUCAUCACCACACAGCAUUUUUACUGGCAGUCCAAAUGGGCCUACAUUGAGGAUGUCCCCAAUGUUUGAGGAUUUAGAGGAACCCUCACAGGAACCAUCAUGUAGCCAGAGAACAACCCAAACUCAGUAACAUUCCAAACCAAAAAGUUUGAAGCGGUCCAGCAAGUCUGAUGCCCCCUCCAAAGCUCCUAGCAAAGACAACUUCAAGCACCACACCGCUACCAACAUCGCCACCAGAAGUACAGGAAGUUGUUGAGGUACCAAGAACAGAAGAAGAAUCUGGAACACAUCAUCAAGAAUAUAUAUCUAGUGGCAUUAGAUAUAAACUUUCUCAGAGACAUUCUUCCAAAAAAAAAUAGAGAGUCCUCUCAUAGAGAGAACCUUAUUCUUGAAGCAAUUCAGAAACUAGAGGAUUUCUGCACAUCAAAGUUUCUACACAUUGAUGUGCGCCUUCUCCACCUAGAGGGUAUAGUAACUGGCCCAGCCACGAGUCCUAAUAGGGACUUUCUUAUGACCCUUGUCCCAUCUAUGGACCGAAUGUCAGAGGAACAAAUUGCAAAUUAUAAGGUGCGAAUAAUUCGCAUGACCCAAGAAAUUUUGAACCCUCCACAAACUCAGAUGUAUCCUCCACCUUCACCUUCGGUUCAACAAGCCAGACCCAGAAGCUACCCUAGCACAUACACUCAAGUGCAUUAUGAUGAAACUUUUGAGGUUGAGGAGGGUCAAGUCUAUAGGAGAAUGCAGCUUGUUUUUUUGGUGUUUAUUUACCAUACAGUGUUUGUAUAGUUUUUAUACCUUCAGUGUUUGUAUAUUUUGAUACCUUGGUUUAUACCUUCAUGUGUACUGACAAGACACAUUUGUAAAGUUUUUUUAAGUUUUAUAAAAGCAAAAAUAAAG